RNAcentral lists this long non-coding RNA (1137 nucleotides) under Spirodela polyrhiza (greater duckweed). Its description in RNAcentral is "long non-coding RNA (SPOL_LNC001711)". The record is from RNAcentral. Lineage: Eukaryota; Viridiplantae; Streptophyta; Magnoliopsida; Alismatales; Araceae.
UCCGAGAUCGUUGGAGAACAGGCGCCGGCGAUCUGUUGCCUUCUCCUUCAGCGGUGGGCUCUGCUCUCCGCCAGGGGAGCUCUGGUUCUGCGCGCGAUGGCGCCGCCACGAUGGGCGGGGCUUCCGGCUUCCGCAUUCUUCCUGUUCUUCCUGCUUUUCGUGAUGCAGCUCGUAUGCUCCUUCCGGAUCGCCUCCUCCCGACAGUGAGUCAUUUGCCCCCUCCUAUUUCUCUGUAUAGCUCGAGUGAUCUUGGAUGCUUCUCCAUCUCGUCGAUGCUUGGGAACCUUGUUUCCCUCUCCCUGUGGCCACUUUGGAUUUCGCGUGUUGUUCUGUAGUGGAUCGGGCGAGUAAUGUGUGAUUUCGUGGGAACUUCCGUUUCAUCUGCCUACGGGAUUUCCUCUUAGAUCGGAUUUCGUGCAUCUUCGAGAUAGGGAACAAGGCUGGAUUAAAAAGUGAGUGAAUACCUUCCCUCUCAUCCAUCGCCCAAGGAUGCCUGCUUUCCCGGGACAUCUUCAUCUGAGAGAGUAAGAGUAAGGCAUCUUGGCUGUGCGAACUGUUGUGCGGUACUCGACGGAGGGGUGUCGGGGGGUUCUGGCCCGUCAUCUUGGUGGCGACUUCACGCUUAGCUUUCUCUUCUUCCUUCCUAGGUCUGCGUAUGAGCUUGUAGUAUCGUUAUGGGGUAGCAUUUUAUCCAAGUAUAGAUUCUAUGCGCCUUUGGACGGACCUUCUGUCAUGAGCUCUCAUGCAUGCAUUCGAGGGUUUGUUUCAGGAAAAAAUGCUCUUCAUAGGACUCUGGAAAAAUUGUAUCCAUCAUUUGGUAUCGGUUUGAUUAGAUUAAUGAGAUAAAGGAUGGUCAUAUAGACGAUGCUCAUGCUGAGAUUUUAUCUUGUGCGCUGAAGUCAUUGUUGUUGGAAUCCUAGCUCUUGUUAUACCUGCAGCAUUCUAAGAAGAAGAAACAAAGUUGCAAUGGGUGAUGCAGCCUUCUGAUAGAUCCAUUUUUCGGAGAAACUGGAUUCUGCAUCCUCGUUUUAUACGUGGCCCCAAUCUACUUGGAAAAACCAGUUGGUGCAAAAAUAAGAGAGAAAAAGAGGUAACCUUCUAUCUAUUUGCCAAGGUCUCUAUUCAAGGCUCAUGGCC